GAUGAACGCUGGCGGCGUGCCUAAUACAUGCAAGUCGAGCGAACGGACGAGAAGCUUGCUUCUCUGAUGUUAGCGGCGGACGGGUGAGUAACACGUGGAUAACCUACCUAUAAGACUGGGAUAACUUCGGGAAACCGGAGCUAAUACCGGAUAAUAUUUUGAACCGCAUGGUUCAAAAGUGAAAGACGGUCUUGCUGUCACUUAUAGAUGGAUCCGCGCUGCAUUAGCUAGUUGGUAAGGUAACGGCUUACCAAGGCAACGAUGCAUAGCCGACCUGAGAGGGUGAUCGGCCACACUGGAACUGAGACACGGUCCAGACUCCUACGGGAGGCAGCAGUAGGGAAUCUUCCGCAAUGGGCGAAAGCCUGACGGAGCAACGCCGCGUGAGUGAUGAAGGUCUUCGGAUCGUAAAACUCUGUUAUUAGGGAAGAACAUAUGUGUAAGUAACUGUGCACAUCUUGACGGUACCUAAUCAGAAAGCCACGGCUAACUACGUGCCAGCAGCCGCGGUAAUACGUAGGUGGCAAGCGUUAUCCGGAAUUAUUGGGCGUAAAGCGCGCGUAGGCGGUUUUUUAAGUCUGAUGUGAAAGCCCACGGCUCAACCGUGGAGGGUCAUUGGAAACUGGAAACCUUGAGUGCAGAAGAGGAAAGUGGAAUUCCAUGUGUAGCGGUGAAAUGCGCAGAGAUAUGGAGGAACACCAGUGGCGAAGGCGACUUUCUGGUCUGUAACUGACGCUGAUGUGCGAAAGCGUGGGGAUCAAACAGGAUUAGAUACCCUGGUAGUCCACGCCGUAAACGAUGAGUGCUAAGUGUUAGGGGGUUUCCGCCCCUUAGUGCUGCAGCUAACGCAUUAAGCACUCCGCCUGGGGAGUACGACCGCAAGGUUGAAACUCAAAGGAAUUGACGGGGACCCGCACAAGCGGUGGAGCAUGUGGUUUAAUUCGAAGCAACGCGAAGAACCUUACCAAAUCUUGACAUCCUUUGACAACUCUAGAGAUAGAGCCUUCCCCUUCGGGGGACAAAGUGACAGGUGGUGCAUGGUUGUCGUCAGCUCGUGUCGUGAGAUGUUGGGUUAAGUCCCGCAACGAGCGCAACCCUUAAGCUUAGUUGCCAUCAUUAAGUUGGGCACUCUAAGUUGACUGCCGGUGACAAACCGGAGGAAGGUGGGGAUGACGUCAAAUCAUCAUGCCCCUUAUGAUUUGGGCUACACACGUGCUACAAUGGACAAUACAAAGGGCAGCGAAACCGCGAGGUCAAGCAAAUCCCAUAAAGUUGUUCUCAGUUCGGAUCGUAGUCUGCAACUCGACUACAUGAAGCUGGAAUCGCUAGUAAUCGUAGAUCAGCAUGCUACGGUGAAUACGUUCCCGGGUCU
RNAcentral lists this ribosomal RNA (1372 nucleotides) under uncultured bacterium. RNAcentral's name for it is "bacterial SSU rRNA". It matches the Rfam family "Bacterial small subunit ribosomal RNA", at positions 28 to 1381 of the family's 1533-position model. The record is from RNAcentral.